Molecule: ribosomal RNA, 105 nt
Filed under: uncultured bacterium
Lineage: Bacteria
Description: partial 16S ribosomal RNA
Rfam family: Bacterial small subunit ribosomal RNA
Source: RNAcentral
CGUCCACACCAUGAGAGUCAGCAACACCCGAAGCCUGUGAGCUAACGCAAGAGGCAGCAGUCGAAGGUGGGGUUGGUGAUUGGGGUGAAGUCGUAACAAGGUAUC